GUGUGUUGGUCACCAUGAGACCAGAUUGGCCUAAGUACUGUAGUAAAUACUACACAGUGGAUUUUUAUAGGACCACAUACUCCUGGGCAAUUACACCACUAGGAAACAUGGAAGACUGGCCUGAGUGUGAAGGAGUAAAGAUCAAACCUCCACAUUUGCUUAGAGAACCAGGCAG
Papaver somniferum (opium poppy) is the source of this 175-nucleotide long non-coding RNA. RefSeq lists it as uncharacterized. Lineage: Eukaryota; Viridiplantae; Streptophyta; Magnoliopsida; Ranunculales; Papaveraceae. The record is from RefSeq and is a predicted model, not a curated record. The transcript is spliced from 3 exons.